GGUUGAUCCUGCCAGCAAUCAUAUGCUUGUCUCAAAGAUUAAGCCAUGCAUGUCUAAGUAUAAGUGUUUAUACAGCGAAACUGCGAAUGGCUCAUUAUAUCAGUUAUAAUCUACUUGAUCGAUUCUGUUACUUGGAUAACUGUAGGAAUUCUAGAGCUAAUACAUGCAAAAGGUCCGGACUGGGGGCAACCUUGGGAAGGACGCGUUUACUAGAAAAGAACCAAUAUGGGGCGCAAGUUCCAUCUAACAGAUGAUUCAUAGUAAGACUUCACGCGAAUCGGGGGCUUAAGU
RNAcentral lists this ribosomal RNA (291 nucleotides) under uncultured eukaryote. RNAcentral's name for it is "partial 18S ribosomal RNA". It matches the Rfam family "Eukaryotic small subunit ribosomal RNA", at positions 6 to 282 of the family's 1831-position model. The record is from RNAcentral.